CUAUAAUCUGGCACCUUCGGUGUCCGAGUUGUAAUCUCUAGAAAUGUUUUCCGCGUUGGACCGCACACAAGUCUGUUGGAAUACAGCGGCAUAGUGGUGAGACCCCCGUAUAUGGUGCGGACGCCCAGCGCUUUGUGAUACAUUUUCGAAGAGUCGAGUUGUUUGGGAAUGCAGCUCAAAUUGGGUGGUAAAUUCCAUCUAAAGCUAAAUAUUGGCGAGAGACCGAUAGCGAACAAGUACCGUGAGGGAAAGAUGAAAAGCACUUUGGAAAGAGAGUUAACAGUACGUGAAAUUGUUGGAAGGGAAACGCUUGAAGUCAGACUUGCUUGCCGAGCAAUCGGUUUGCAGGCCAGCAUCAGUUUUCCGGGAUGGAUAAUGGUAGAGAGAAGGUAGCAGUUUCGGCUGUGUUAUAGCUCUCUGCUGGAUACAUCUUGGGGGACUGAGGAACGCAGUGUGCCUUUGGCGGGGGUUUCGACCUCUUCACACUUAGGAUGCUGGUGGAAUGGCUUUAAACGACCCGU
This 521-nucleotide ribosomal RNA is filed under the name Rhodotorula mucilaginosa. RNAcentral describes it as "partial large subunit ribosomal RNA". It matches the Rfam family "Eukaryotic large subunit ribosomal RNA", at positions 115 to 652 of the family's 3401-position model. Lineage: Eukaryota; Fungi; Basidiomycota; Microbotryomycetes; Sporidiobolales; Sporidiobolaceae. The record is from RNAcentral.